RNAcentral lists this long non-coding RNA (3335 nucleotides) under Acanthaster planci (crown-of-thorns starfish). RNAcentral describes it as "uncharacterized LOC110990656, transcript variant X2". The record is from RNAcentral. Lineage: Eukaryota; Metazoa; Echinodermata; Asteroidea; Valvatida; Acanthasteridae.
GCACGUUAUAGAGAACCUUGUAUUGCGUUCCAUCCUGCUACAAAAACCCUGAACUGUGGUUUGAGCAGAGCAACUGAGUGGACGUACAGGGAGCACAAUGGAAACAGAAGAGGACAGAAAGGCGGAGCCAAUUGAUGAAGGGGAAGUGCAGAAGGUAGUCCAUGGACACGAGACAGGUGAUAUCCUCAGCAGCUAUUGUUUCACUAACCAAUGAUGAAUUGAAAGACUUGGAGUGACACAUUUGGGGGACCAGGUUAUCUUGAGGCAAAAAUGCUGUCGAGUCACCCCGACCAACAAAGUAAGACUCUUAAUCAUUCAAAAUUUUUCUGUUUUUAAAUCUUGUUUUAUCACAUGAAUUGUAGGUCUGAUUCACUUACUGCUUCAUAUUGAGGUCCAGUUGGCAACCUGGUUGUGAGGUAGUAGAGAAGUGAUGAAUGAGAGUCUACAGAGAAACUGGAAUAUGAAAUAACAAUGUUUUAGGUGGAUUUAGUGGACAGUUUUUGAAGGCGUUGACAAAAUCAUGUUCAUAUUUAUCUCCUUGAAACGUUUAAAAUUUAUGCAUCAAAACACUUCUGGACGUAAUAGACGGAAUCAGGUCAACUUGUCCCCUGGCCAACUCGCCCCCCGGAUGAGUCAACCCCAGCCAAGUCACCCCCUGGCAAACUCGCCUCCUGACCAAGUCGCCCCCUCAGAGGAAAGUCCACUGGUGUGGGCCAUUAAAGUGUCCUUGUAAAAGGCUGGACAUUAAAGAGUUCACCUUCAGAGGAUGGGAACCGGUCAACUCCUACCCAAGUUAACUCAUACCGAGUCAACUCAUAGCCAAAAAUUUACACCCAAGUUAAGUCAUACCCGCGUCAAGUCGUACCCAGGUUAACUCGUACCAGAGUAUAGUCGUACUCAAGUUAACUCGUACCCAAGUUAACUUGUACCCUAUGAAUUUUCACAUUGAAUCUGGCCAAUGGAAACAUUUUUCCCGGCCACGAAUGACGAAAGAGGAGUGACAGCAUUGUUCCCAUAUUCUCUUCUCUGUUGACUUGUAUUGUUGGGAAAAUUAAAUUAAGAUAAUGAAUAUGAAAAAAUAUCAUUUGUCGAAUUGUUACUGCCAUCGCCAUGUUUUUCUCUUUUUAUUAGAGGUGAUCCUAUGAAGUCUUGAUGCCAAUGGUCACACUAUACAUCAGAGCGGUCUAUGCCGCAAACAUUGAGCGUUGCGGGGUGAACGUUGUUGGAAAACAAACUUGAAUUUAAGUUCAGCGUGCAGUAUAAGCAUAAAGAAAAUGGAAACAAACACAACUGAAAUUGCAGCUUUUGGCAUGCAAUAAUUUGAGUGACUUCUUUUCUUCAUGAAUUGGUAAAAUAAUAGUCCGAGCACCUCCAGCCGUACAGUUCUAUCACAAACUUUGUAGUACAGUUUGCGAUAGUACUGUACGACUGACCGGAUGCACACGGGGCGGUAAAAUAAAUGUAUUAAUGAUGUGCUGUAUAUGAUUGUACAUGAUUUGAGUGACUUCUUUUUGCAAUAAAAUUUGAUAGACAAAUAAACCAAAGCAGUGUAAUAUGGGGGGGGGCAGGCGUAGUAUGCAUCACCAUUUUGGGGCUAUUUGGGGGCUGGCCAUCAACCUGCCCCCUUGGAUAGUCUCGGGAGAAUCCACACUUUCUAUUGUUGCUCUAUGAAGCGCAACUGCAUGUUGGGAAGAUGGAAAUUGCCCCCCCCCCUAUUCUCUUUUGUUUAACCUUAUGUUUUCUCCUUGGAAUGUCCCUAUACAUAGUGUAAAUUGCUUGAUGCACUGCUAGAUUUACCCAUUAGCUACAUGGAUCAACCCACAUAGCUAAUGAAGUGCCACAUCAUCACAGGGGUACAGCAGGGGUACAGGAAGUGGCUUUGGUUCAUUGUUCUUUCAGCGAUGACCAAGUCCACAUGUGUGUGCCCAAUAAAGCUAGUAUUAGAGUGUUUCCCUGUAUCUUUUGCUGACUGAAGCUCUCAUUCUUCUUUCAGGUAUGUAGAGUUUCUUCCCAUUUUAUGAUGAUGCAAGCGUAUUUUCUAUUAUAUUAUUGUAUAACUUUUAGAUGUUUAAGACUUUAAACUAAGACUGGACUCUCAGUUGGAGGAAUUUCAUACAGUACACAGAAAAUGUCUUGGUCCAGUAUUUUCCCUCUGAGAAGUGUUGAAGUGAUGUAGUUGAAAUUUCAAUACUAGUUACAUGUACUCUAGUAGGAGUUCAUUUUCAGGAAUGAUUUUAGAGUAUUUUAUUAAGGAACCCUUUUGAUAUUUGCUGUGCCAGGAUAUGCUGUAUGAGGCAUGUUACUCAGUGUACAGAAGGCCUAGACAUGCCUUAGUGUGUGCAUAGAGGUAGGAAAAGGAGUUAGCGCGAGCUAAGAUCAGAGGGGCUAUGUCUCAUGCCACGAUAAGAUCACGACCGCAAAGUAAACAACGGUCCGGGCUGCCAAAAACCGCAAGCGCGUUGCAUGCUGGGAUAUUAGUAGGCAUUGCGCACGUGCACCGGCUCCCAACGCAAAUGAAAAAAUGGCGGCCUACGGAGCUGACGACUUUUAUUACAGGUCUGAUUUGAGCGAUUUUUCAGAGAGUGAGGAGGAGAUUUUUGACUUUCCCGACGAUGAAUGUGAAGAAGAGAUGCCAAGAUACUGUGUGUGCGGACUUCCGGCAACUACAGACACGAUAGCCUGUGAUAAGGCCGGAUGCAGUAUCGAAUGGUUUCAUUUCGAUUGCGUGGGGCUGUCCGACGACAACAUUCCAAAGGGAUCCUGGUUUUGUUGCGUCUGUCGCAAAGCCGACAGUACUACCGGGCUCACUGAUGGUAAGUGCUCCCUUUCCUUGAGUUGGAACAACAUACUUUUCAGCCUUGACAUGUCUGGUUACUACCCUCUGUCUAAAAUAGAAAAGGGUGACAAAACUUGCACAUGCACAUGACAAUGCAAUGCAUCGAUGAUGAUUGAUCCUGCAUGUCCUGAUCCUGUACUGCCUGUUGUCAAUUUGCAUUAGCAUGAUUAGGGCCUAGGCAGUGCUAGGCAUAAUAAAAAAAAAAAAAUUAUGAAAUGUUCAGAUGGAUGGUUUGGCCGGCCAUGACUUGCCAUCAUUUUCAACAUGCUACAUUUUUCCUCUUUAUUCUGUAGGCCUACUCUUUUUUUUUUUUUUUGCUUCAUAUUCAUUUCUACCAGUAGAUUCGUCAGACAUUGCCUCCCAUGAAAAUGAAGAGCCUGCACUGGUGGAUACUGCAUCACAUGCCUCAGCACAAUCUGACCCUCCAUCUUCUGAGCAUGCCAAGUCUACCACGAAGACCUUGGGGUGAAGCGCCGCAAAGGGAAAGGAAAGAGCAUCA